GACAGAGGGUGCAACCGUUGCUCGGAAUCACUGGGCGUAAAGGGCGUGUAGGCGGGAAGAUAAGUCGGGCGUGAAAUCCCUGGGCUCAACCCAGGAACUGCACUCGAAACUGUUUUUCUUGAGUAUCGGAGAGGAAAGCGGAAUUCCUGGUGUAGAGGUGAAAUUCGUAGAUAUCAGGAGGAACACCAGCGGCGAAGGCGGCUUUCUGGACGAUAACUGACGCUGAGACGCGAAAGCGUGGGGAGCAAACAGG
This 253-nucleotide ribosomal RNA is filed under the name uncultured bacterium. Its description in RNAcentral is "partial 16S ribosomal RNA". It matches the Rfam family "Bacterial small subunit ribosomal RNA", at positions 524 to 776 of the family's 1533-position model. The record is from RNAcentral.